RNAcentral lists this ribosomal RNA (451 nucleotides) under uncultured Bifidobacterium sp. RNAcentral's name for it is "bacterial SSU rRNA". It matches the Rfam family "Bacterial small subunit ribosomal RNA", at positions 173 to 639 of the family's 1533-position model. Lineage: Bacteria; Bacillati; Actinomycetota; Actinomycetes; Bifidobacteriales; Bifidobacteriaceae. The record is from RNAcentral.
UUCCACAUGAUCGCAUGUGAUUGUGGGAAAGAUUCUAUCGGCGUGGGAUGGGGUCGCGUCCUAUCAGCUUGUUGGUGAGGUAACGGCUCACCAAGGCUUCGACGGGUAGCCGGCCUGAGAGGGCGACCGGCCACAUUGGGACUGAGAUACGGCCCAGACUCCUACGGGAGGCAGCAGUGGGGAAUAUUGCACAAUGGGCGCAAGCCUGAUGCAGCGACGCCGCGUGAGGGAUGGAGGCCUUCGGGUUGUAAACCUCUUUUGUUUGGGAGCAAGCCUUCGGGUGAGUGUACCUUUCGAAUAAGCGCCGGCUAACUACGUGCCAGCAGCCGCGGUAAUACGUAGGGCGCAAGCGUUAUCCGGAUUUAUUGGGCGUAAAGGGCUCGUAGGCGGCUCGUCGCGUCCGGUGUGAAAGUCCAUCGCUUAACGGUGGAUCUGCGCCGGGUACGGGCGG